This is a long non-coding RNA of Quercus lobata, 382 nucleotides long. RefSeq lists it as uncharacterized. Lineage: Eukaryota; Viridiplantae; Streptophyta; Magnoliopsida; Fagales; Fagaceae. The record is from RefSeq and is a predicted model, not a curated record. The transcript has 2 exons.
CUUUUCUCUCCAAAGACCCUAACUCUCUCAGUCUCUCUCUUGGGUCUUGCUUUCACCGCUCUCAGAACGGCUUGCUUUCCGCCUUACCAAUCACCAUAGUUGCCACUGCUGAAUAGUGGAUCGAGAGGUUUAUGACAGCGUUGACAUGGCUUGGUAUUGAGUGGCUUUGAGGUGUUCCAUUGCUGAGUAGAAAUAAAUUGAUUUGAGGCUAAUUGUAGCGUCAUAGAGGUUGGGUCACACACUGUAUUGUCAAAUGUUGUGUUGGUUGGAUUUGAAUUUGUAGUUUUGGGUUGUAAGACACAUGUACAUAAGAUAUGUGAAAAACGAGAGUGGUUAUCUGUAUCUGUAUAUAUUAAGAGGAUUCAGAAAGUUAGUUAUUGCU